Molecule: ribosomal RNA, 346 nt
Filed under: uncultured bacterium
Lineage: Bacteria
Description: partial 16S ribosomal RNA
Rfam family: Bacterial small subunit ribosomal RNA
Source: RNAcentral
CCUACGGGAGGCAGCAGUGAGGAAUAUUGGUCAAUGGGCGUAAGCCUGAACCAGCCAAGUCGCGUGAGGGAUGAAGGUUCUAUGGAUCGUAAACCUCUUUUAUAAGGGAAUAAAGUGCGGGACGUGUCCGGUUUUGUAUGUACCUUAUGAAUAAGGAUCGGCUAACUCCGUGCCAGCAGCCGCGGUAAGACGGAGGGUCCGAGCGUUAUCCGGAUUUAUUGGGUUUAAAGGGUGCGUAGGCGGCCUUUUAAGUCAGCGGUGAAAGUCUUUGGCUCACCCCUAGAAUUGCCGUUGAAACGGGGAGGCUUGCGUAUGUUUGAGGCAGGCGGAAUGCGUGGUGUAGCGG